RNAcentral lists this long non-coding RNA (7529 nucleotides) under Prunus dulcis (almond). Its description in RNAcentral is "sRNA ncRNA". Lineage: Eukaryota; Viridiplantae; Streptophyta; Magnoliopsida; Rosales; Rosaceae. The record is from RNAcentral.
CGACUUAGUUAUGGCAAUGCAGUUGCGCUCUUUGCUCUUGUGUGUGCUGCUGCUUCUCCUUGGCUUUGCAUUGGCAAAAACCAGUGCUUCCAAGACAGAUCGACCCAUUGUUUGUGCAACUCUCAACCGGACCGAUUUCGAUUCUCUUGUACCUGGGUUCACAUUUGGCACAGCUACCGCAUCUUAUCAAGUCAGUCUCUUAAUUUGGGGCUUAAUUAAUUAAAUACGCACUCUUUAAAUUUGUUUUAUUUUUGUGUUUCCUAUAGUUACUUAGGUUUAAUGUAAUCCGAUCAGUUAGCAUAAUCCAUGCAUGAAUAUUGGCAUCUUCGUUUGGUAUAUAUAUAUAUCGUCUUAUAUAUGUGUGUACAAUAUUUCAGUUGGAAGGUGCUGCAAAGCUAGAUGGUAGAGGACCAAGUAUAUGGGAUACCUUCACCCACAACCAUCCAGGUCUGUUGAUUCAAACAAUCAUCAUUUAUUCAACACAUCUUCAUUUGCACUAGUAUAAGAAACCAUAAAUUAAUGUCAGGUUUUGAAGAAUUUCAAGAAUAUUAACUCGUAAAUAAGAUACUCUGGUGAGAGCUUCUUUCGACCAAUUGUUGUAACCAUACAAUCUCUAAUACGUGCAGUUUUACCUCACGUGGGGCAUGCAUAACCCUGCUUAAGACAUGAACAUAGCAAGUAAUAUUUGGCAUCGUGAUGGUCAGAUAAAUCAAACGACCAACAAGUCUUCUAUAGUGAGCUGGGUAUUUAAGCAAUUUACCCUUAUCAGAAAGCUUAAGACAUUUUUCCAUAGGAAAAUCAACAGGUGCAACACCUAGGAGCUUUGCAUCCUUCAAAAUUUCCAAUGCAUACUUGCACUGAGAUAAGAAAAUACCUUUCUUUAAUCUUGAUACCUCAAUCCCCAGGAAAUAUUUCAAAUCUCCAAGAUCUUUAAUACGAAAAUGACUAUGCAAAAAAAUCCUUGAGUGCCUAGAUAGAUGCAGGAUCAUUGCCUGUAAUUACAGUGUCAUCAACAUAAAUCAAUAAUGUUGUGAAAGAUUGUCCCUUAUUGCGAGUAAAUAACGAAUAGUCAACUUUAGACUGAAAGUAAUCAGUGGAACAAAAGGCCUGUGAAACCUUAGGAAACCAUUGACGAGAAGCUUGCUUUGAACCAUAAAGAGAUUUAUGAAGGCAACAUACCAAGUUAUCCCCCUGUCGCAGAAGACCAGGAGAGGUCAUGUAGAUUUCCUCAUGGAGAUCACCAUGAAGAAAGGCAUUCUUGACGUCAAGCUGAUGGAGAGGCCAAUUACGUGCGGUGGCAAGAGCAAGUAAAUAGCAAACUGUAGGCAUCUUUGCAAAAGGAGAAAAAGUGUAUGAUAAUCAACACCUUCCAUUUGAGUAAAACCUUUAGCAACCAAACGGGCUUUAUACCGUUUGACAAACCCAUCGAAUUUGAGCUUAAUUUUAUACACCCAUCGACAACCAAUGGGCUUCUUUCCAUCUGGUAACGCAGAAGACUCCAAGUGUGAUUAUUGUACAAGGGGGUAAUUCAGAUUGCAUGGCUUCCUGCUAAUGAGAGUGAGAAGUGGCUUCCUCAUAAGAACUGGGUUUAACCAUUUUACUGACUUGUGUAAUGAAAGAAAGGUGAUUCGGAGAAUAACGAUGAUAGGAGAUGCAGAGCGGAAAACAUGUACCUUUAGUAGGACCCGGUGUGGGUGCAGGUGAACUAGUUGUGGAUGGACUAGGUGCAGGUGCGGGUGAUAGAGAUAAUGGCAUGGAGUCAUGUGCAUCAGGCCCGACUGUUGGAGCGGAUAGGGACGAAGGCAUGAGACCAGGUGCAUCAAGUUCAACGAUGGAGGGUGGUGAGAUUGGGCUGGUGAUGGACGACCAAUGUGGAGUAGCGGCUGCAGAAGAAAAAAAAUUGUCCAGGUUAGAUGAGGAAGAAGAUACUGAAAUUGGAGAGAGAAAGAGAAAAGAAAUGUUGAUAGGGAAAAAUAUUUUCAUGGAAUAUAACAUCACGACUCGUGAAAAUUUUGUGAGACUCAAUAUCAUAAAGUUUUAAGGCUUUUUGACCAAGGGGAUAAUCAAGGAAAAUAGAGGGAAUAGCACGAGGAGUGAAUUUAUGUGCCACAUGAACAUUGGUUGCAUAGGCAAGACAACCAAAAACACAAAGAUGAGAAAAAAAGGGUUUUUUUUUUAAAUAAAGAUGUUCAAAAAGAGUGUUAAAAGAAAGAAGGGAGGAGUAGGAAAACGAUUUAUGAGAUGGACAGUAGCUAAAACACAUUCCCCCCCAAAAUUUGGAAGGAAGAUGGGCAUGAAUUUUUAAAGCACGAGCUGUCUCAAGAAUAUGUCAAUACUUGCGUUCUACGACCCCAUUUUGUUGAGAUGUAUAGACGCAAGAGUGUUGAAAAAUGAGGCCCUGUUCAUGAAGUUUUUUUUGUAGAGAGAAAUUCCCCUCAAUUGUCAGCACAGAGUUGUUUACUUUUGGAAUUAAAUUGAGUGCCAACAUAGGGAAAUAAAUUUUUUAAAAGAUUUUGUGUCUAAUGUUUAUGUUGCAUUAAAAAUACCCAAGUAAAAUGGGAAUAAUCAUCAACUAUGGUAAGAACAUAAGCACCCGAAAUUAACGAAUGCUUAUAAAGGCCCCAAAUAUCACAAUGGAUUAAAUCAAAUGAUGUGAUGGAGGAAAUUGAACUUCCUCCAAAAGGGAGACGACUAUGCUCUGCCAAAGGACAAACAUGGCAAGGAUUAUUGGAUACAAAAAGGAAGUGCCAGUUUGACAUUGCUUAUUUGGGGUGAUAAGUGAUUUUUAAAAAAAUUUGGGAAGCCCGGCCCGUUUGGUAAACCAUGAGAAAAUCACUUAUUGUUAAAAAUUGCUAUGAGUGAAAGCUAUAAGGGAAAGCAGCUAAUGAGGUGCUUUCAUUUUCUGAUUAUGUAGGAAUCAGUUUCGAAGAGGCACUGGGUUUAAUGAUUAUGCUGCAAUCAUUUUCUGAUUAUGCGGGAAUCAGUAUCAAUAACACUUUUAACAACCAAACGCCAAACUGCUUUCUCUCACAGCAAAUCUGACAUCGAUUAUUUUUAUAGCACAGCAAUGCCAAACUGGCCCGAAAUCAAUUAAUGUUUAUACAUAAAAUUUAAUAUGGAUGAAGAAUCAUGGCUAAGGCGACAAUGCCAAAUAUCGGUUGAGGUGACAGUAAGAUUGCAGGAUGGACAGUGAGGGGUAGAGUGGUUGGUUGUGCUUGAGGGUUUCUCCGCCGAUAGUGCCACCAAAUAAUAAAGCUCGCCAUGUUGCUUACCCAAACCAAUCGUCUUUCUUGUAACAAGAUCCUACAAAAUACACCAAUACGGAAAAAAGCUGAAUAAUUCAAAUUUUUUGUACUCUACUCACUGACAUCAAAUCUACUGUGAAAGUAGGUACACAUAGUACAUCACGUAAAGUAUAAGUAGAAUUGAAAGGGAAUGAUCAUGUGAUGGUAAUUGAGGCCUUCUCCCCAUUAGGCAUACAGACCAGUUGUAUAGAAUGAUCAACAUUAUGAUAAACUAACAAUUUGGGAGACGAAACAAUGUGAUAUGUUGCGCCACUAUCAAUAAUCCAUCGCUGAAAUUUUAAUUUGGACAAACCUUUAUUGGUAGCGGUAGCAUUGACUUGGGGUUGCUUAUCAGUCGCUCAUUUGUCAUUCAUGAUAGCCAACAUUUGCCGAAAUUGAUGAUUUGAAUAACUAAGGUAAUAAGGGUUUGAAGGUUCAAGCUUGGAUACGUCGAAGGAGUCACCCAUGGUGUUCGGCAAUGAAGGGUCUGUGGUAGGAGAAGGUAGGAUGCGGCAGAAAAAGUUUUAAGAGCUAGAGUUUAAUUACCCUACUAAAAAACCAUGUGAAUUUGAUAUUUGAUCAAAAUGAUCUUUUCAUUGAUAGGUACAAUUGAUUUAUACAAGAGUAUAUUAAUGUACAGGGAAACUAAUCCUGUAACCUAGGAGACAAACUAGGAAAGCAAAAUCCUAAUUACAACAGGAUUUGAUGCAGUACAGAAGAACGAGUUUACGGAUCAACAAACGUCUAAACCCAAAAAGAUAAAAUGAAAUCCGUCACCGACUCGAAUCUACCAUAAAAUAGAGAAAAUCUCUAAAUUUGAUUAAUUAUAUGAUAAAACUUAUUAAUACAAUGCCAUGAGUUGGCUUAAAUAGAAAACCAAAAAAUUCUAAAACCGUAGGAAAUCCUAGGUUCUAGAAUAUUCAUAAAACUUAACUAGUAAGAAAAUUAAUUAAAAUCAUAUCAGGAAAAUAAUAUCCGGAUUGAUAACUUAUUCUUAAAAAUAUAAAUAUAAUAUAAAUCUUCUCAAGAAAUCAAGCUACCCGAAAAUCCCAACGAUACGCCUUCCUUCUUUCCCUAGCGUCAUAAUUGAUGCUUAAUCAGAAUUUUCCUCUCUUGCACAAUUUCCAUUCCAACUUUGAGCCACUUUAUUUUAUUUAAUAUUUCUCACCAUAAAUGACUCAUAUCUCAUCUUACAUCAGGAUUAAUUGAUACUAAUUGAUAUUAUACGGAUUGAUUUCCUAACACCUUUAUGCUUAAAUAUUGAAAUAAUAUUUGGUUAAUUGCAGAAAAGAUCGAUGAUCACAAGAAUGGAGAUGUUGCUAUUGAUCAAUAUCACCGCUAUAAGGUUCGGAAAUCAUAUAAUUUUAUUCUGCAGGCCUUCUAUAUUUGAACUUAAACACACCACAUUGAAGAUGAGAUCCUUCAUUUUUAGCUUCUUUCGUAUAAUUAUGUAUAUCUUUAUAUCUUUUGCCUCAUUAUAGGAAGAUGUGGCAAUUAUGAAGGAUAUGGGGUUGGAUGCUUAUAGGUUCUCUAUCUCAUGGUCCAGAAUAUUACCAAGUAAGUUGAUGACCCACAUCCGCAUAUUUUAUUGCGAACAAACACUUUAUAGUUUAACAUGUUUUAUUCAAUUUAAAUUCUAUUUCUAGAUAGGUAUUGGCUUAUAUUUUCUUGUUUUGUUUUAAUUAUUACUAGAUGGAACUGUGAGUGGUGGAAUUAACAAGAAAGGAAUUGAAUACUACAAUAAUCUCACCAAUGAACUCCUACGCAAUGGUGAUACAACAACCCAUACUCAUAUAUCAUCCUAAUAUAUAAUAACAGUACAUGCACUUAUUUGAUCAAACUUUUAAUUUUCUUGGUCAUGCUAUAUAUAGGUAUAGAGCCACUAGUGACACUUUUUCACUGGGAUGUUCCCCAAGCCUUAGAAGAAAAAUAUGGUGGCUUUUUAAGCACUCGUAUUAUGUAAGUGAACAAAUUUUAUCCUUUGUAUAGCAUUAAUCAUUUAACCAUAUAAAUACUACUAUAUAUAAUAAAUGCAUUUUGAAAUGUUUACACACAGUGAUCACUUUAAAGAAUACGCAGAACUUUGUUUUAAGGAAUUUGGUGAUCGAGUAAAGCAUUGGACCACACUUAAUGAGCCAUAUACCAUUAGUAAUCAUGGUUAUACAAUCGGGAUCCAUGCACCAGGACGAUGCUCUGCUUGGUAUGACACAAAUUGUCUUGGUGGAGAUUCAGCUACCGAACCAUAUAUGGUGACACACCACCUACUCCUUGUUCAUGCAGCCGUUGUAAAAUUGUACAAAGAAAAAUAUCAGGUUCUUUAAUUUGAAUUUUUUUUUUUUUUUUGGGUCUGAAUAUUGGGGUAUUUGAGAAUUUGAUGCGAGUCACUAGUAUUAAGUAUAAGUGGGAAUACUUUAUAUAUUGAGAAAAACAAUGGUUUUACUUUAUUUUUUUAUGGUACUAAUAAAUCAACAAAAAAUAAUAUCAAAUGUUUUUGGUCUAGGCAUUUCAAAAAGGUGUGAUAGGAAUAACAGUGGUAUCACACUGGUUUGAGCCCGCUUGGAAGACAAGGAAAGAUAUAGACGCUGCAUUUCGAGCUUUGGAUUUUAUGUACGGAUGGUAUGUUGUUAUUAAUUUAUAUAUAAAGUCAUUUAAAUGCUUUAUUAACAAAUUAUAACAGCGACUCGCUAUAUAAUACUGUAAGUUUGCUCUUGGCAUUUUCAUAGGUUUCUGGACCCAUUGACAAGAGGCGACUAUCCGCAUAGCAUGCAAUCUAUUGUUGGAGAUCGAUUACCAAAAUUCACAAAACAAGAAUCCAAGUUGCUGAGUGGGUCAUUUGAUUAUAUUGGAAUAAACUACUAUUCUGCUAGAUAUGCAAGCGAUGUCUCUACGAAUUAUUUUGUACCGCCCAACUACUUAACAGAUCUUCGAGUUAAUGUUACAAGUGAGUACAAAUGUAAGCUUCCAGUAAUUCAUCAAGUUAUUAGAAUAAUUGGAUUCUAAUAUUCAUUCAUGUUUAUAUAUGUUGUGGCAGCUGAACUUAAUGGAGUCCCCAUUGGUCAACGGGUACAUAUUAUUAGAUUAAGUUAUUAGCAUUUGGAUGAUUAAUAUAUAAUGCAUUAUCAUAUAUAUAUAUAUAUAUAUUGUUUUCCACAUAUAAAUACAGUCCUAAAAGUCUCACUAAUCUUCAAAUGGGAUUGCAGGCAGCUUCAGACUGGUUAUAUAUUUACCCAAAAGGACUUUACGAUCUUAUACUCUACACAAAGAAAAAGUAUAAUGAUCCAGUUAUUUACAUUACUGAGAAUGGUAAUUAAUAGUUUUAAGCAUUAAUUAAUCACAUCAUAAAUGUUUCACAUAUAUUUAUAAUGGUUCAAAAUACAAUUAAAUGUUGUAAACUCAAAACUUAAAACUAAAUGCACGUUUCUUUUUUAGAAAGAAAAUGUAUUCAUAUGAUAAUGCAUUAUACUGCAGGCAUGGAUGAGUUCAAUAAUCCCGAAUUACCACUUGAAAAAGUACUUGAUGAUAGCAAUAGAAUUGACUACUAUUAUCGCCACCUUUGUUACCUUCAAGCCGCUAUUAAGUAAGUGUUAGUCGAUAAAUUAAUUAAGGCUAUAUAUGUAUAAUCUAGCCAUCUUACAUUUCGGUUAUUUAAUCACUACAUUGCAUUUUUUUUCAUUUAUAUGUUUGCAGAAAGGGUGCUAAAGUGAAAGGAUACUUUGCAUGGUCAUUGCUAGACAACUUUGAAUGGAACAAAGGAUACACUGUUCGAUUUGGUAUCAACUAUGUUGAGUAUGACAAUGGACUGAAAAGACACCCAAAACGCUCUACGCACUGGUUCAAAAAUUUCCUCAAGAAAUCCUCAAGUAGUACGAAAAAAAUUCGAGUGUGUGGGGACGAUAAUGCUAAAGCCACCAAUUUGUGUAUCAAAUUUGAAUCCUAAAUGAAGAGUAAAGUACAUCGGCUUCUUCAUAGUUAUUGUGCGAGAGUUGUUUUUCAUGUUUAACUUGUUUGACUCUUUCAAAGUCGGAAUAAGUUACAACAAUUCAUUAUGAGUUUGCCGUCUCUCCUUGCGAUAGUUCAGUUUUAAUUUUACUUUAUAUGAGUUGUUGAUGUGCUUGGUUUAUCCAGAUUAGAUUCUGUUUGGAUGUGAUUGAUGUACCCUAGGUUUGUAUUAGUCCUUGUGUUCACUAGCCCUUUAUGGCCAAACUAUGAAUGCAAUUUAUGAAUAAGAAUUAAAAUUAAAAUAAA